UAAUCUGUACUAUGUUACAGUGUCUUUUUGGUUUAUCGUCAGAAGAGAACUAAAAUUGCCUGAGUCAUAUGAUUCGUUCGACCGAUGCCUUCUACAUUCCCAAUGGCAUCGCUUUGUUGGAUAGACUUUUGCAAGUUCGGCGGCAGGUUUUCACUAUGAAUCUUUGCCUUAUGAGGCUAUCUUUGGUUUGAUAUCUCAUCUUCUGUUUAAGGUUGGUGAAAGUUAUUCAUAUGCUAAGGCAUAUGCUUAUAGGUACCAGUUUCAAUUUUCAAAAGGUAAUUUUAAGUACAUCAAAGAUUCAGUAGUAAGUUAGAAUGUUUAAGGUUGCAGGAGGUGCUUGUGAAAUUGGACCCACUUCUGGAAUAUGUAAGAGACUGUCUUCUACACUCGUGGAGCAAACUGGGCGAGAGAGAUUUUUUUUUUUUUAAAUAGCUAUAAAUCUAUAAUUGAAGCUUGAAGGAAAGGUGUGUAUGAUUAGUACUCCAAGAUUGUUUCUUUCUUCAAUAUCUUUUUCACUUUCUAAAUAUUCCUCUACUCUUUAUUUUUUUUUUGAAAUUUAGAAGCUCACUAUGAAUGUGAUUGAUUGAUAGUGACAUCAAAAACUUGCUAAAUUAUCGCUGACAGAAUUUGUUAUGUGUCAG
This 641-nucleotide long non-coding RNA is filed under the name Eutrema salsugineum. RNAcentral describes it as "long non-coding RNA (ESAL_LNC002089)". Lineage: Eukaryota; Viridiplantae; Streptophyta; Magnoliopsida; Brassicales; Brassicaceae. The record is from RNAcentral.